This 467-nucleotide ribosomal RNA is filed under the name uncultured bacterium. Its description in RNAcentral is "partial 16S ribosomal RNA". It matches the Rfam family "Bacterial small subunit ribosomal RNA", at positions 28 to 506 of the family's 1533-position model. The record is from RNAcentral.
GACGAACGCUGGCGGCGUGCUUAACACAUGCAAGUCGAACGGACAGGCCCUGCUUUUGUGGGGUGCUCGUGUGGCGAACGGGUGAGUAACACGCGUGUAACCCGUCCUUGACUGUGGGAUAACUUCAGGGAACAGGGGCUCAUACCGGGUAGGAGCUCUUGCUGCAUGUUGGUCGAUAGAAAGUGUCGGCGGUUGGGGAUGGUCUCGCGGCUUAGGCGCUUGUUGGUCGGGUAGGUGCUUACCAAGGCUUUGACGGGUAGCCGGCCUGGGAGGGUGACCGGCCACAGUGGGCCUGAGGUGCGGCCCAGAGUCCUACGGGAGGCAGCAGUGGAGAACAUAGCACAAUGGGCGGAGGCCUGAUGCAGCAACGCCGCGUGCGGGAUGACGGCCUUCGGGGUGUAAACCGCUUGCGCCUGUGACGAAGCGUGAGUGACGUAAAUGGGCAGAGAAGCACCGGCUAACUACGU